Molecule: long non-coding RNA, 1248 nt
Organism: Daphnia magna
Lineage: Eukaryota; Metazoa; Arthropoda; Branchiopoda; Diplostraca; Daphniidae
Exons: 2
Source: RefSeq, a predicted model, not a curated record
UGUGGCUCCGCUCGAGGGGAAGGCACGCAGAAGCAAAAGAAAAGAAGCUCCCACCUUUUGUUGCUGGUACACUUGCGCUAGUCCGUCUAUUACUAGGCACAUACGCACGUCAAUAGUGUGUCUCUAAGGUUCGAGUGGGGCAGAAAAGAGGAAAUUGUAUGGGCAGAAUUGUAGAAGCACCUGAAAGAGGAACACAUUCACAAGUGGGAUCCUAUCUGUUGUCCAUCACACUCGGCACCUAUCAUUAAAAAUGAAAUGGUGCGAUCUUAGAAAACGUCUUCCAGCAAGUAGCUGCAGUCAGCCAUCAUCUUCUUUUUGAUUUUUGAAGAAGAAAAAAAAAACCAUUAAAACGGCAUUUUCGCUGUGUCGGGUCCCGAUCGUAGACUUGUUGUGAAGGACGCGAGCGACAGCAGCAAAACACGUAUUAUCCUAUUCUAUUUCGUACAAGAACCUUCUCUCUUUUUUUCUUCCGUUCAAUCCAUAAUAGGAGAGAAAGGACGUUCUAAACCAGUCCAGCAAGUGCUACAUUUUAUUUUUUUAAAAUAACCUGAUAAGCACUCGGGACAACAAUAGCGCGACGAGGGUUGGCCAGCACAAGUUCAUGCUUUUGUCACGAGCUCGCGAUGAGCUGGGAUUUCUUCAUCUUGCGACAUAUUACGAACGGAAAGGAAAACCUUCUUUUUUUUAAUCACUCAAUUUAGUAUUUGAUUUUUUUAGGAUUAAAUGACUUGCAAUCAAGUUGGUCUUCAUCGGCUUUUGCUCGGCUCUGUCGCAACCAUCUCACAUUUUUUUGUGUGUAGUCACAAAUGUUGCGUGUGUACUAUUUUUGUCUAUCUUAAUGGGGUGUGUUGCUGCGGAUGGGGAAAAAAAGAACGAGUCGAUCGAGUUGAACCAGUUUUUCUCGUCGCGCGCGCACACACACACAUCAGUUCUGAUUUGUCCACUCGAUAAACGCACGCAAACAAAAGAAACUCUUUCUCUCUGUCUCCCUGUCCAAGUUUUCGUUUCACAACCGAAAAGAAAAAACCUGAAGGAAAGGCAAACAGCGCCGAUAUGCCGCCAACAUAUCCCGGCUCCGUCGUGUCCACACACGCACAACAACACUGUCCUGAAAUCACGAUCAACUGCAAAAACAAAAAAAAAAAAAAAAAGUCCAAGGCAAAAUAGCCAUCUAUGCCAAUACAGUGAAUUAAACAGUUUUUUUUUGUGUGUGAUACAUUGGCUGAAUACACAAACAAAAGAAAGGCA